Molecule: ribosomal RNA, 253 nt
Filed under: uncultured bacterium
Lineage: Bacteria
Description: partial 16S ribosomal RNA
Rfam family: Bacterial small subunit ribosomal RNA
Source: RNAcentral
UACGUAGGGUGCGGGCGUUAAUCGGAAUUACUGGGCGUAAAGCGUGCGCAGGCGGCCUCUUAAGUCAGAUGUGAAAUCCCCGGGCUUAACCUGGGAACUGCGUUUGAAACUGGGAGGCUAGAGUGUGGAAGAGGGGGGUGGAAUUCCAGGUGUAGCGGUGAAAUGCGUAGAUAUCUGGAGGAACACCGGUGGCGAAGGCGGCAUCCUGGACCGGCAUUGACGCUGAGGCGCGAAAGCCAGGGGAGCAAACGGG